AAGUAUAACAAUUAAAAAUGAAUUAACCUCUAUCACUAAAUGAUUACAGAAUCAAUCAAACAUACUUAUACAUAAUACUGACAAAGAAAAUGUAAUAAAACUAAUUUGAAAGCAAAUUUAAAACCAGAUGCUCAGCAGGGCGUAGCUUUCCAGGACUGCAGAGGUCCAACCCUAAACAGUUGUGCAAGUAUGAACACAACAUUCAAGCUUGAUACUGUCUGAAUUUGGAUUGUGAUCAAAUUUUUGACAUAGUAUAGGUUUCUGACAUAAAAUAAAUGUGGUUAAAGAUUUUACAAAUCUAUUGCUCAUUUACUGUCAGUGUGCAAUUGAAGAUUUUAUCUUGAAAACUUUUCAAAAAUGUGAAAAAAAUAUAUGAAUCCCAUUAAAAAAUUAACCCCAACUUAUUAAAAAAAGACUUGGAGCAAUAACCCCAAAACUCAAUUCAAGCAUUCCCUUUGUAGUAUGGAACCUUGUAGUACAAUUUCAGAGAGAUCCAUACACUUAAACACAAGUUAUUGUCUAGAAACUAGAAAAAUGCUUCUUUUGGCCCUUUUAUGGCCCCUAAUUCCUACAUGUUUGGGGUAAUGAGCCCCAAACUCAAUCCCAUUCUUCCAUUUGUUAUAUGGAACAGUGUGGUACAAUUUCAGAGAGAUUUAUACACUUACUUACAAGUUAUUGUCAAGUUUUUGGCCCCUUUGUGGCCCUUAAUUCCUAAACUGUUGGCCCCAUAACCCCUAAAAUGAAUCCCAAUCUUCUACUUGUGGUUUUUAACAUUGUGGUACUAUUUCAGGGUAAUUGAAAUAUUUAAACACAAGUUAUUAUCCUGAAACUAAAAAAACGCUUGUUUUAGGCCCCAUUUGGGCCCCUAAUUCCUAAACGGUUGGGACCAUCAACCCCAACCAUCAGCCUUCCUUUUGUG
This 919-nucleotide long non-coding RNA is filed under the name Mytilus galloprovincialis (Mediterranean mussel). Lineage: Eukaryota; Metazoa; Mollusca; Bivalvia; Mytilida; Mytilidae. The record is from RNAcentral.